Long non-coding RNA from Mus musculus (house mouse), 697 nucleotides. RefSeq annotates it as predicted gene, 31085. The record is from RefSeq and is a predicted model, not a curated record. NCBI's taxonomy places the organism in Eukaryota, Metazoa, Chordata, Mammalia, Rodentia, Muridae. The transcript is spliced from 4 exons.
ACACUUUGGAUAGCCUGUCAAAAGUGGGUAAGGACACAUCUGACAAUUACAGAAGACUCAUGCACAGCCUGAACAUCCCAUGUGUAGUUCAUCCAUUGUUUCAGCUGCAUGCUUGGUGGUGAAAAAUCUUUCUAAAAGUUUUGAGCUCCUACUUUGAGCAUAAUGCUUUCUGACUUCUAUGAUCUUAAUUUCAUCACCCUCUGAGCCUGUAGGGACGGCCUUCCAUGCAUCACACUUACCCUUCAAGAGAAUCAGAUAGGGGUGGCCAUGCUGCUCUGAUUGAAUGGUCAGUGGUGUCUGAACCACAACCUAGAAGAUGCUGAUGGAGCGUUGAGACCUCCCUUGCGUGGUCCUGCAGUGUGGGAGUGCUCUGACCCCAGGACUCAGGUGUGACCACCAUUUGCUAUCUGUGUUCUCUCUGAGACUGGUCCACACAGGAGAGGCAUGGGCUGCAGAAGUAACAGAACUUCUUGGACAGGGUCCCUUCAGGCCUUCAUUUUCAGCCAGGAGGCAGAGCUGAACCUCAGACAUUUGUGUACCUUCCCAGACAGUGGAAAGCUUGCCUCCAAGGAAUGCUCUGACCCCUGGGACUCAGGAGAGUUCUGGUCUCCCAGGAAUGCUCAUAGAGACUAUCAGACUCACAGGAUGAACAAGCUCCAGCCAGAGACACCUAGAACAUCUAACACCAGGGAUUACA